UCCAAGGUAUACAUAGGAUGUUUAUUUAGCAGCACAUGCUCCGCUUUAGCGUUUAGCAUCCGCUGUUACGCAUCCGAAUUUUCCAUCGAACCCAGUUUCAGGGUCAUUUUCAAACUUGGAACUUUGAAAAAUUGCACUACACAUCAUAACUGCACUGCAGAACAGCAAUUUUCGGAAAAAUUAGUUAUGCUAAUGUCUUGGGUGAUUGUUUUUGGGUGCGUUUCAAUGUUUAAUGUUUGAUCGCUCUUAUUAGUGCAUAUUUGCGCAGGUGUAUAUUUUGGGGAAAUUGGCUGUCGCCGAAUAAAUACACGUAUGUAGCUGCUCGCGGGAUCAGUCCUUAUCAGUGUAGAAAGAUCCAUGGAAAGCUGGCUGGUGCUUGUGUUCUGCAGCAUCAUAGCCAUUUUGGCGGCGACCUCGAGUGCGUACUGCUGAAAUAAUCGCGACCUUGGAUGCUAGCCAUUGGAUUGCACAUUAUGAUUACGGAGUUGUGUAUUUUAUUAAGAUGAAUGGAGUUAAAGCGUGUGAAACAUCCAGUGUAUCUGUACGUUCUAGAUGACCUCGAAAAAACGUAUUAGCAUCUGUUCCGCCCUAAUAGCGACACUACUGUUUGCGCAAACCUUGGGCUGUAGUCCGGCGGAGAGGAGGACAAAACAAGACGAAGAGGACAUUUUGCUGUGGAACGCAGUGCGAGGCGCCCAAACAGAAAGCGUUGAUGGUCGUAUUGAGCUACCCCAAAACCAGUCUUCUACACCCUUACCGGAUACCGUGCGUAUUUUGACGGGAGAGACCGCCGUAUUCCGCUGCUAUCACUAUAAUCCUCACAAGCUACUGUGGCGUCACCAGGAUAACCUGAUUAAAGGAACUGCGCCCGUGGUAGUACAGGACCAGCAGUACUCCAUACAAACUGUCGACGAAGCCAAUUACCUGUCUAUACACAAUGUCUCGCGCUUUUCCGCCGGCAGCGUGGAGUGCCUCCGUCCCUGCGGCGAUGGCCAACGAUGUCCGGUCAAACACUUUACGCUGCGGCCGAAACUGCGCCCGGCCGACGUCUUCAUCGGACACAUGCCCAACGUCACGACGCUCACCGGCGUAGAUGGCACGUUCAAAUGCCAGGUGAACUUCCGCUGCUGUCCCUCCGCGGAGGACCACUUCAUCUGGAAAGUGCGAGGUGGCUUUGUAUAUCUGCCCGAAGGUCAUCUUCUGGAGCGCGUUGUCCACCUGCAGCCAGGCCGAUGGCUGCACGUGCACCGAAAGCAAAACUAUUUGUGCUCGGAGUCUGAGCCGGCAUUCUGCGAGCAGACGUUGUUUGUGUGGGCCCGCCUUCGUUUUGGACCAAAUCCCAGCGUGGUCGAGUGCUGGGCGCGGGCGGACGUCGAUUCGGAGGAAUGGGUAAUACAAAAAGCGUUGCUGGACAUAAUUCGUCCUUGAACGGUCCUUCAUAUUUCGCGCGGACGUUUUUAUUCUAGUGUUUCGAUUGUUAAAUGUUGCUAGCACAGAGCCUGUGAAACCGCAGUGCUCUUUUUCCCGAUUCUGAGCAACGCAACUCUGUUUUUACUACUUUUUAUUUGUUUACGAUCACAUGAUUGUUGGAGCAUGUUCAGCCGACCUGCAUUAUUACGUUCUUGAGUGAUACAGCCUACAGAUAAUGUUGACCGACUCACCCAGUGCGAUUUUGUUUGUGAAGAUAUUGUCUCCAACUAGGCAGCACGAAACCCUUCCCGGGCCCUAUCCAAACCGGUCGUGAUUUUAAGGCAGCGUGGCCAAAAAGUGCAUAUCUGGGAAGAGGAACCUAGCAUACCUAUCUCCAAACGAUCAGAUUGCAUGUUACGGAACGAUUACCAACGGCUUGUCCUUUCGCAUCGGGAACGCCCACUCGCAGUAGAUCGUCAGCGGGGUCAUGGAGUUGAUGCGGGUUUCCAGUACGGUGAAGAGCAGUUCGGCCCUCGAUGGACUGCUGCAGAGGAAGAUCGGAUUCCGCACUGGAGGAAUUGUCGCCGCGUCGGACAACUGCUUAUACUUUCGUCGCUAUUUUUCUCCAACACGAAGGUGGCCAUCCGGGCGUUCAGUAUGCGCCAGGCGACAAUCAA
RNA transcript from Paramacrobiotus metropolitanus, 2087 nucleotides. RefSeq lists it as uncharacterized. The transcript has 4 exons. Lineage: Eukaryota; Metazoa; Tardigrada; Eutardigrada; Parachela; Macrobiotidae. The record is from RefSeq and is a predicted model, not a curated record.